UCCUCUGUAGCUUAGUUGGUAGAGCAUGGUGCUUGCAAUGCCAGGGUUGUGGGUUGGAUUCCCAGGGAGGAC
RNAcentral lists this transfer RNA (72 nucleotides) under Salmo salar (Atlantic salmon). It matches the Rfam family "tRNA". From Rfam's summary of the family: Transfer RNA (tRNA) molecules are approximately 80 nucleotides in length. Their secondary structure includes four short double-helical elements and three loops (D, anti-codon, and T loops). Further hydrogen bonds mediate the characteristic L-shaped molecular structure. tRNAs have two regions of fundamental functional importance: the anti-codon, which is responsible for specific mRNA codon recognition, and the 3' end, to which the tRNAs corresponding amino acid is attached (by aminoacyl-tRNA synthetases). tRNAs cope with the degeneracy of the genetic code in two manners: having more than one tRNA (with a specific anti-codon) for a particular amino acid; and 'wobble' base-pairing, i.e. permitting non-standard base-pairing at the 3rd anti-codon position. Lineage: Eukaryota; Metazoa; Chordata; Actinopteri; Salmoniformes; Salmonidae. The record is from Rfam by way of RNAcentral.